RNAcentral lists this ribosomal RNA (506 nucleotides) under Herklotsichthys quadrimaculatus (bluestripe herring). RNAcentral's name for it is "partial large subunit ribosomal RNA". It matches the Rfam family "Bacterial large subunit ribosomal RNA", at positions 1858 to 2563 of the family's 2925-position model. Lineage: Eukaryota; Metazoa; Chordata; Actinopteri; Clupeiformes; Clupeidae. The record is from RNAcentral.
CCUGCCCCGUGAUCACAUGUUUAACGGCCGCGGUAUUUUAACCGUGCAAAGGUAGCGCAAUCAAUUGUUUCUUAAAUAGAGACCUGUAUGAAUGGCACAACGAGGGUUUAACUGUCUCUUUCUUCCGGUCAAUGAAACUGAUCUGCCCGUGCAGAAGCGGGCAUGUUUUCACAAGACGAGAAGACCCUAUGGAGCUUUAGACGUUUGCCAAUUAUAAAAGGUGGUUAGGGACCCUAACCCCCAGACGAAAUAACCCUGGUUAAAGCGUCUUAGGUUGGGGCGACCGUGAAGGAGAACAAAGCCUUCAAGAGGAAAGGGUUCAACCCUGAAACCAAGAGCCACAGCUCUAAGUCUCAAAACAUUUGACCGAAAAUGAUCCGGCUUUCCGCCGAUCAACGAACCAAGUUACCCUAGGGAUAACAGCGCAAUCCUCUCCCAGAGUCCAUAUCGACGAGGGGGUUUACGACCUCGAUGUUGGAUCAGGACAUCCUAAUGGCGCAGCCGCU